CAGCAGCCGCGGGAAUACGUAGGUGGCAAGCGUUGUCCGGAAUUAUUGGGCGUAAAGGGCUCGCAGGCGGUUUCUUAAGUCUGAUGUGAAAGCCCCCGGCUCAACCGGGGAGGGUCAUUGGAAACUGGGAAACUUGAGUGCAAAAGAGGAGAGUGGAAUUCCACGUGUAGCGGUGAAAUGCGUAGAGAUGUGAGGAACACCAGUGGCGAAGGCGACUCCCUGGUCCGUAACUGACGCUGAGGAGCGAAAGCGUGGGGAGCGAGCAGGAUUAGAUACCCGAGUAGUCCCUGUCUCUUAUACA
Molecule: ribosomal RNA, 301 nt
Filed under: uncultured bacterium
Lineage: Bacteria
Description: partial 16S ribosomal RNA
Rfam family: Bacterial small subunit ribosomal RNA
Source: RNAcentral